Molecule: unclassified non-coding RNA, 2370 nt
Filed under: Metarhizium brunneum
Lineage: Eukaryota; Fungi; Ascomycota; Sordariomycetes; Hypocreales; Clavicipitaceae
Source: RNAcentral
CCCCAAUAUCAGCGCAUCCCGUUUCGCGGGGCGGGUGUUGGGGUUAGAGCCACCGAGUAGUGGCCGCAGGCUUGAGGAGAGCCGCCGAGUGGUGGUUCAGGAGGGAAAAUCUGCCAAGCUCUCAAAGGUCAGGCAAGCGAGAGGUUUACCGAGUCGGAAAGUCGGGCGAGUAAAAAGAUAUACCAAGUCCAAAAUACUGCCGGCAACAUACCCGGGACCCCGAGUAAGUCGGGGAAGAAGUUGGCGGGUGUUUUUCCAGCCAACUCAACUUUGACCAAUUUUACCUGCCCGAGCUCACGGGUAGGCUGCGGUUAAUUUUUGGACUUUGCGGAUUUACUUGAAUCAAUUCACAGGAAGUUACCUGCCAAAUUGCCUGGGCUCCCGGGUAGGCUAUAGUUGACUUUUGGACUUGGCGGAUUUUUUUAAACUUACUUCCCCGACUAUAACCUGGGAUUUUCCCGACCAUGGCUCACGGGUAGGUUAGUUGUGAUUUUUGGACUUGGUGAAAUUUCUACUUUCCUGCCAAGUCUAGCCUACCUGGGAGCCCAGGCAAGUCGGGCAGGUAAAUUCCGCCAACUCGGCAGGGAACUGAUUGCAAAUUAAUCUAACCAAAUCUGCCAAGUCCACAAGUUAACUAUAGCCUACCCGGUAGACCUGGGUGUUUCCCGCGUGAUUUCCUGUGAAAACAAAAAAGUUAGGUGUUUUAGUACUUAAUUUAUGUAGGUAUGGGUUGAUUUUUUUGUUUUCUUAUAUAAAUAAAAUUUGCGGAAAAUAAAAAAUAAACCACGAGAGCCCGGUAGCGGAGGCGAGCCCUUAAGGUAGUCGGUAAGUAUAUAAGAGAGAGGGCUGGACACGCGUCGCGUCGCGUAUUUCCACCGCACCUAAUACUUUUGGCUUUAGGGUAGGCUGCUUGUUUAGAGGCGCGCUGAAUUAGAUGGUCUCUUAAGUGAGGGGAUUUCUCUGGUGGCAGUUGCCUGUAAUCCGGGAGCCCGUGGUGGUAAAGUCAGCUAUAAGGCUUGUGUGUGUGUGGGUGCGCGGGUGUGUGUGCCGGGGCCCUGUAAGUCCCGACCAGGAACCCUACAGGUCACGUGCCGACACAGUAAGACAGAUAAGAUAUACGGCAGGUGUUAGUACACGUGCCAAUACAAGUGACGAUAAGAUCGAUAAGAUACCUGCACGUGCCCAGUCACGGAGACUUACACGUGUCCCGCUGCCAAGGUCCCCGAGGUUGCCGACCUCGCCGACUACUCCUGGUGUAAUGUGCCGGUGCAUCACCGUCGCGUGCACGCGGCUGCCGUCGGCCGUGGUGGAGGGUUACCCGGGACCACGGUGCAUUUUUCCGUUUUUUCCAUUUUUUCAAAAUCGACGACCAAAAGGUUGGUAGGUCUGGGUUGCCUUGCUGGCCAAUAGAGAUUUGUACGGCGCUACUAUAGGGUAGGUACAGGGUAGGCUGUGCCGGUACUUGCGGUCGCACACAAAUCCCUAGCAGCCUGAAGUACCCCCGCGCGCGGGCAACUUCAAACCGCGAUAGCUGCUCCCAGCGGCAUUGCAGACAACUAUGAGGGCCACCAUUCGAUUCGUCUCGCCGAGCUGCAUCGAUUGAGCCCGGGUUGCCAAAAAGUCGGGUGUUUUGGUAUUUGAUUUGUAUGGGCGUGAGUCGAUUUUUUUGUUUUCCUAUACAAAUGAAUUUUGCGGAAAAUAAAAAAUGGACCACGAGCGCCCGGUGGCGGAGGUGGACCCUCGAGGUGGUCGGUGGGUAUGUGAGAAGGGGGCGUCGAAAGAUGCCGGGACAGCUGGGUCUUCGCUGAAAGGCAGGAUUUCCGGUGAGUCACCGCCCUCUCUGUACCAUAUCUUGCCGAGCCCCAGUGCUUGAGUGGCCUCCUGAACACGCCUGUAGAAGGUUUCUUUUACAGGCUGGGAGGUCACACUGGGGAUUCAAACUCCACGAAGUCGGCGGCUACGGCCGUGCGGCGUACUGGUUAUACCUCGUGGCAGUGGGAGGCACCCGCCUCUUACCGCUCAGGAGAUGGGUUCUGUGGGCUGCUGGCCGCUGGCCAACAUGCCGUAAAUCAGAAUAACGGGAGGCAACCACGGGUAGCUGACGCCGAAAUGGCAGAGGCUGCACGGAGCGUCCUCCUCUUAGGGCACCUAUACCGCACUCUACGGUGCGUGUGGACGGCUGCGCCUAGGGAAUUGAGAGGGGGAAAGCGGAUUUGCCGCUGGGCGGUCUCUCCCGGUCAAACGGGCAGGGCACCUCCCGGCGCGCAGCACCCUUUCGAGUGGGGGAAAGGUGUGCCGACCAGUAACUUGGACUAUUCUCUCCGGCGCCCUUAACAGGGCGUCGGUAGGCCAACCCCGGCGAACGAUAGU